This is a long non-coding RNA of Cyprinus carpio carpio, 778 nucleotides long. Lineage: Eukaryota; Metazoa; Chordata; Actinopteri; Cypriniformes; Cyprinidae. The record is from Ensembl.
GUCAGUGUGAAAAUGGCUGAUGGCAAGAGAGUUUUACAGUUGUUUUACUCAUUGUGUUUUCUCGUAUUGGGACAGACGGCAUCUCUCUUUUGAUGUGGGCUGAGUGUGAUCCAGUUUCUGACCAUCUUGGUGUUUUGGGGUUAUGUGAGCGAUGGCGAGUUUGCGUGCGGUAAUGUGCGUUAAACAGAGAAAGCUGGAGGCAAUAAAACAAGCGUGUAUCUGCAACCCCCUGCCCACCUUCAGAGAGUUUCUCCUGCUCCGGUGUCACCCACAGUUCAACGUCCGUGGACAGACUGCCAGCCGGCGACCCAAUGGGGACUGGGGCGUAAGGGAGCGGUUUUGCUGAACGGUGCAUUCCAGGACAGAGAAAACACCUCUCUCCCAUCCCCAACACACGCUUUGUAACUGGAAGCCAUAACACAGACAUGAGACUAUGCACACAACAGGAGCUGGUGAGCCACAUGGCUUGAUGUGGCAAGAUUGAUAAGCUGUGAAAGCAUGAAUCAACAGUGAGAAAUGUUAAUGGGGUUAUUACGGCAAUAUGCUGAUCAAUGAGCAUUUUAAGAACUUUUCAUGACUGAUGACGCCAUCACUUAUCACAAGAGAAAUAAUUCAUUAAUGUCACAGGAUAUUUGAUGUUUGGACUCAUUGAAGUCUCAGUUGGCUGACGAGAGUGCCAAGGAUGGGGCCGGUGUCCUAGGGGCCUUUGCCAGGGGUCUCGAGCUGAAAGGGCCUCAGUGGCCAAAAAUCCUAAAAACAAGGACAAUGUAAUAUAGAG